RNAcentral lists this ribosomal RNA (253 nucleotides) under uncultured bacterium. Its description in RNAcentral is "partial 16S ribosomal RNA". It matches the Rfam family "Bacterial small subunit ribosomal RNA", at positions 524 to 776 of the family's 1533-position model. The record is from RNAcentral.
UACGGAGGGUGCAAGCGUUAUCCGGCUUCACUGGGUUUAAAGGGUGCGUCGGUGGGUUGGUAAGUCAGUGGUGAAAUCCCCGAGCUUAACUUGGGAACUGCCAUUGAUACUAUUAACCUUGAAUACCGUGGAGGUCAGCGGAAUAUGUCAUGUAGCGGUGAAAUGCUUAGAUAUGACAUAGAACACCAAUUGCGAAGGCAGCUCACUACACGCAUAUUGACUCUGAGGCACGAAAGCGUGGGGAUCAAACAGG